Bactrocera oleae (olive fruit fly) is the source of this 235-nucleotide non-coding RNA. The record is from RefSeq and is a predicted model, not a curated record. Lineage: Eukaryota; Metazoa; Arthropoda; Insecta; Diptera; Tephritidae.
AGUGUACCUGCUUUUAUAUUCAAUAUAUAUGUAUAUAUUUUCUAUUUAUAUUUGUUAUGAAAGUAAAUUGUAAUAUCAUGUUAUACGGAUGAAUAUAGGCCUCCUGUGGAACUGGAAAUUUAAAACAGAUCAGUAACACGCCUAUAUUGCAUCCUUAGAGGUGAUACAUGUUCACAUACAAGUUGUUAAACCAUGGAUAAAAUGAUUGAAAAUUCAUUACUAAACAGAUGACAAG